RNAcentral lists this long non-coding RNA (877 nucleotides) under Homo sapiens (human). RNAcentral's name for it is "HSALNT0358147". Lineage: Eukaryota; Metazoa; Chordata; Mammalia; Primates; Hominidae. The record is from RNAcentral.
ACAGACCAUAAGGAGAGUGUUUUAAGACUAAAAUACUGAUGAGUAGGUAAAGGGGUAGAAUGUUUUCCCAGGGAACAAUUCAUCAGCCUCUGACAUGAUGUUUGUUUUGUAAAUCUCUUUUUUCAGAACAGUGAACGAUUUAAAGGGAGACUAAAACACUGAAAAAAAAUGCCGUUCAUAUAUUGUGUUCUUUUGAAUUUUUAUUUAUAUUUCUAACCUCUUUAGAUCAUUACAAGUAUAUACCUCAUAAUGAAAAUGAAAAUAAUUCCAUUUAAAAUGCUAUCUAGAAAGACCUUAACACGCAUUAUGUGUCAUAAUGAAGUAACACAAAGAAACUUCUUAAAACAUAGGAUUUCUCUCUAAAGCUUAAAUGUGAGGCAGACAGACGUCUAACUUUAAAACAGAUGGAACCCCAGAACAUUUCCAGGAUACAUAAAUCUGAAUUUUGUGUUACAUUUUAUGCCUGAGACAGCUAACCCAUCCAAAUUGAUGAGGCCUUUGUACUUGCCUCAACAAAUCGCCACAAAAUAUGUGAUGGAAGUGAUGCUGCUUCUAGGACUUCUGCAAGUUUCUCUCGGCACACUGGCCUGGGAGCCUUCAGCUGCCAGGACCUAAUGUGCCACAUGAACAGGAGAAGAGCAAAAUGGGAAAGACAGCUUAAGGAGAGAAUAGUAAAGGUUUGAAACAGACCCAGACAAAAUGGUUGAGUAGAGGCAAAAGGACUGUACAGACGGUAGCCAUUUGCUGACAUUCCCUGAAUGACGAAUUGUGGAAUGAAUUAGAGCUGCUGCACAUUCUGAAGAUUUCAAAAGUAGCUGUGCUUCAGUUAAGUGCUUAUUCAAUUUUCAGAUGAAGUCAUCAAAUUAAUUUUAAAACU